GAUUGCUUUUAUGUCUAGGGGUCAGAGGAACAUGUUAGAGUGAAGCCAAGUUUUAAAAGGAAGGUUCAAAUAUGCACUAGGUUUUGCCCAGGAUCCAGGAGGAAGCAUUGUGUAUAAAGAAGAAGCUCUGUUUGGAUGGACACGUGGGGGUGAUCUGGGACAUAGAAACCUGGAAAAGCUGAUGAAAGCUGAUUUUCCCUUGAAGAAGACAUUUGGAAUGAAGCAAUGUGACCUUUAAUCACCCUCAGACCUCUUUUUGUUCUUGUUCCAGGACAUUCUGGUUUUAGCCAGAUGAUACCAAAAUGACCCCAGAACCAGAAGAUGGCAGAGCCACAAAGUGAAAAAUACUUGGGUCUCUGAAUCAUAGCUUGGAGGAGGGCUUCCUGGAAAACCAUCCCAACAGAGACAUCCGCAUUAAACUUUGUGUAAACAAAAAAUAAAUCUUUCUUGUGGUAGGCCACUGAGAUUUAGAUUGCUACAGCAGCUAACCGAUCUGACCAAUACAGCAGAGAACUCCUCCAGUGCUCUCAAGUGUUUUACAGACCACUAAUUAUUAAAUGUGGAAGCUCUGGAGCAGAGAACCUUUCAACUGAAAUGAUGACAAACGAUGCUGGCUGAGGAGAGUCAGACCUGAAAAGUUAGGAAUCCCUAAAAUGACGUCAACCUAUAAUUCCUAUUACAGAGCUCUGAUUUCUACUGAUCGUUUUAGGAACCAUAUCUACUAUGUGAGAAAAGCUGCUGGUGGGCCUAAUUUAGAUGAAAAGCAGAAAGGCCUUAAAAAAGAAAUGGGAAAGGAAUAUACAGAAGCAAGAAGAUGAUUGAAAAAAGAUGGCAAUUCAUGUACUUGUUGAACACCAGUUCUGAGCUGCAGAGCAGGAGGCACAAGACGUAAACAAAAAAGUCUCUGUUACGGUCCUAAAGAAGCCAAUCAUCUAGAGAAAUGUAUGCACAGCAGGUCCAGCAGAAUGGGCUUUGCGCUGAUGAGGGAAGCAAGAGGAGAGCAUGGCCUGGGAAAGGAGAUGAUCAGGCUCACUUCCCAUUUCUCUGUGGAAGAACCGUGGCAAACACAGAGUCAACUCACAACGUUCAUUGGAAUUUUUCCCACUUGACUCCUUCGCAAGUUGGAAUAAGGAGUUUGGAAAGGGAGGAUUUCUUCAUAUAAAAAUGGUCUGGGUAUAUCCACGCAAAACUAAAGGGAGUGGAAGAGACCCUAGGUCUACACAUUUGAUGGGAUAGAUCCUUCGGGCUCAGCCUCACCUGCAGGUACUGAAGGAAGCCUUAGUCUGCUAUACAGAGCACUCUGCACCAUGGGGAGAAGAUCAAUAUGCUAAACUUGGGUACUGGGCCUAAAUCUUACGAAGUGACCUCAAACCUAGGAAGGGUAGUUUCAUCAGAAAAGAUCCUACAACCUUCUAUCUGAAGAGCAUGAAUAGCUGCUGCUUUUUUGGAGUUGGGGCCUUUCAUUCACCAUGAAGAUACUGCAUUGUGGCACAGUCCUUGAAGAGACAAGGCUCAGGAAAUUGUGUCUCAUGCAUUUGGAAACAUUACCUUGGAAACAUUAAAUAAAAGACAGGAAACCACAUACCAGCUGAAGAAAAGAACCAAUUCCUGCACAGGGUCUGUGUAAAGGUGAUGCCUGACUCCAGUCUACGAG
Molecule: long non-coding RNA, 1654 nt
Filed under: Homo sapiens (human)
Lineage: Eukaryota; Metazoa; Chordata; Mammalia; Primates; Hominidae
Description: non-protein coding LINC00536:3
Source: RNAcentral